UUUUUUUUUUUUUUUUUUUUGGUCUUUUCUAGGGCCGCACCCUCAGCAUAUGGAGGUUCCCAGGUUAGGGGUCUAAUUGGAGCUGUAGCUGCCGGCCUACAACAGGGCCACAGCAACGUGGGAUCCGAGCCAUAUCUUCGACCUACACCACAACUCAUGGCAACGCCGGAUCCUAAACCCACUGAUCGAGGCCAGGGAUCAAACCCACAACUUCAAGGUUCCUAGUCAGAUUCGUUAACCACUGUACCAUGAGGGGAACUCCCUCAAACACUCUUAAAAUGAGAAGAAACUAUAUAGAAAACCCCCCAAAAGCAUAUUAUAAAGUGUCAUAAAUCAGUUUCUAAUACCACCCACAACUUUUCGUGGACUUUAUUCUCUCUCUUUAUAGGCAAAAGGCUCAGUUUCACUCCAUUUUCUUGUAUGUAUUUAUGGACCAGUACUGAACCAAAGUUGGUGCUCUCCUGGGCCUUUGUAUACAUCAUGAAAACAGAGCAUUCUUCUCCUCAUCUUUUAUACCUACUUAUCUGCUGUAUUAGUUUCCUGUGGUUGCUGUAACGAUUGACCACAAACUGGGUGGUUUAAAACAUUGGAAGUGUAUUCUUUUAUAGUUGCAGAAGCUUAAAGUCUGAAAUCAGUAUCAUUGAGCUGGAAUCUACUCUUGUGAGGCUCUGGGGCAGUUUCCACUCAGAUGAACCCUCUUGUAUGCCUAACCUAUAAACAUGGUGAGAUCAGAAAUGUCUGUGGUUGGAAGUUCCCUUUGUGGCCCAGCAAUUAAUGAUCCUCACUAGGAUCCAUGAAGAUGUGGAUCCUUAACCCACUGAACAAGGCCAGGGAUCGAACCCGAGUCCUCAUCGAUGCUAGUCAGGUCCAUUAACUGCUGAGCCACAACAGGAACUCCGAUGUGUUUUGAUAGAACAAAAAAAAAAAAUUCAAAUGACAGUAGGAGUGUGUAAACACAAAUGCCUCUGGAAUGACUUAGGCAUCGAUCUUAGUAUUUUCUUCCAGUAGCAUUCUCUUCUCAGAUGUGGAAGGAUCCUGCAUUUUUAGAAUCUACUGCCAGAGUUCCCAACACGCUGGUCAGUCUCAAGACUCAAGCAUGACUCAGGGAGGGCUUUGAAAGAAAUGCCUAGUAACUAGAUUAGAAAAUAACUAGGUUUAGGAGUUCCUGCUUAUGCUGUCUGUGGCACUGGGAUACAGUUUCUACACCCUGCACAGUGGGUUAAAGAUCCAUCAUUGCGGCGACUUUGGCUGGGAUUUGAACCCUGGUCCUGGAACUCCAUAUGCCAUGAGGUGGCCAAAAAAUAAAAUAGGUUUAAAGGAAUUCCCUGGUGACCUACCAGUUUGGGACUAGACGUUGUCGCUGUUGUGGCUCAGGUUUGAUUCCUUGCCUAGGAACUGCAUACCAUCAGCAUGGCCAAAAAAAAAAAAAGUUUAAUAAACAAUUAGGAAGCUUUCUUUAAAAUUCUGAAGCACUAUUGGGAGUUCCCGUCGUGGCUCAGCAGUUAACAAACCUGACUGAUUAGUAUCCUGACUAGUAUCUAGGGACUCGGGUUCAAUCCCUGGCGUUGCUCAGUGGGUUAGGGAUCUGGCUUUGCUGUGGGCUGUGGUGUAGUUUGCAGGCUCAGCUCUGAUUCCGCGUUGCUGUGGCUGUGGUGUAGGCUGGCAGCUACAGCUCCAAUUCGACCUCUAGCCUGGGAACCUCCAUAUGGCACGGGUGUGGUCCUAAAGAGACAAAAAUAAAUAAAUAAAUAAAAUUAUCAAGCAUGCUGUGGCACAGUGAGUUAAGGAUCUGACUGCAGUGGCUCAGGUCACUGCAGAGGCAUGGUUUCAAUCCCUGGCCUGGGAAUGUCUAUAUGCCACGGGCAUGGCCAAAAAAAAAUUAUGAAGCAUCAUUAAAAUUAAAAAAAUUUUUUUUGGCAGUGCCCAUGGCAUGUGAAAGUUCCCAGACUAAAGAAUGAACUCAAACCACUGCAGUGACAAUGCUGGAUCCUUAACCCACUCUGCCACAAGAUAAUUCCCAAAAUUAAUGCAUUUAAAGCAUUCUUUUUAGGAGUGCCCAUUGUGGUUCUUUGGCAACGAACCCAGCUGGUAUCCAUGAGGACUCAGGUUAAAUCCCUGGCCUUGCUCAGUGGGUUAAAGAAUUGGCAUUGCUGUGAGCUGUGGUGUAAGUCACUGAUGCACCUCGGAUCUUAAGUUGCUAUGGCUGUGGCCAGCAACUACAGCUCCAAUUUGCCCACUAGCCUGGGAACUUCCAUAUGCUGCACCUGCAGCCCUAAACAAA
RNAcentral lists this long non-coding RNA (2281 nucleotides) under Sus scrofa (pig). RNAcentral describes it as "lncRNA (ENSSSCG00060030299.1)". Lineage: Eukaryota; Metazoa; Chordata; Mammalia; Artiodactyla; Suidae. The record is from RNAcentral.